AGAGUUUGAUCAUGGCUCAGAACGAACGCUGGCGGCGUGCUUAACACAUGCAAGUCGAACGCGAACGUUUCCUUCGGGAAACUAGUAGAGUGGCGCACGGGUGAGUAACGCGUAAGUAAUCUACCCUCGCAUUUGGGAUAACCCACCGAAAGGUGUGCUAAUACCGGAUACGUCUACAAUUAUACUUUGUUUGUAGAGAAAGGUGGCCUCUGAUUUAAGCUACUGUGCGGGGAGGAGCUUGCGUACCAUUAGCUAGUUGGUAGGGUAAUGGCCUACCAAGGCAAUGAUGGUUAGCGGGUCUGAGAGGAUGAUCCGCCACACUGGAACUGGAACACGGACCAGACUCCUACGGGAGGCAGCAGUGAGGAAUAUUGCGCAAUGGGGGAAACCCUGACGCAGCGACGCCGCGUGGAUGAUGAAGGCCUUCGGGUUGUAAAAUCCUGUCAGAUGGGAAGAAAUGCACUAUGUCUAAUAUAUGUAGUGUUUGACGGUACCAUUAAAGGAAGCACCGGCUAACUCCGUGCCAGCAGCCGCGGUAAUACGGAGGGUGCAAGCGUUGUUCGGAAUUACUGGGCGUAAAGCGCGCGUAGGCGGCUAUAUAAGUCAGGUGUGAAAGUCCACGGCUCAACCGUGGAAGUGCAUUUGAAACUGUGUAGCUUGAGUACUGGAGGGGGUAGUGGAAUUCCCGGUGUAGAGGUG
This 699-nucleotide ribosomal RNA is filed under the name uncultured Desulfobacterales bacterium. RNAcentral's name for it is "bacterial SSU rRNA". It matches the Rfam family "Bacterial small subunit ribosomal RNA", at positions 8 to 683 of the family's 1533-position model. Lineage: Bacteria; Pseudomonadati; Thermodesulfobacteriota; Desulfobacteria; Desulfobacterales. The record is from RNAcentral.